RNAcentral lists this unclassified non-coding RNA (220 nucleotides) under uncultured Glomeromycotina. RNAcentral's name for it is "sequence contains ITS2". The record is from RNAcentral. Lineage: Eukaryota; Fungi; Glomeromycota.
AAACAAAUCUCCGGAUUCUGUCCGGUGGUCGAUGGGUGUUAAUCCGGGUAGCCCUUUGGGGGAUUAAACCGGUCACCUGAAAUAAUGGGCUCCGCCCCGUUUAGCGGACUCGUGUAGUAACGCUUUCUCGUAAACGACUUCACGAAAGGCGACGGAAGUGAAGAAGCCACUUUUUGGUUUUAUCGCAAAACCAAAUGCGUCUUUACGGCGCACUUUUUUA